AGUCAAUAGAUACCCCGGUAGUCCACGCCGUAAACGAUGAGUACUAGGUGUAGGAGGUAUCGACUCCUUCUGUGCCGCAGUUAAACACAAUAAGUACUCCGCCUGGGAAGUACGGUCGCAAGAUUAAAACUCAAAGGAAUUGACGGGGGGCCCGCACAAGCAGCGGAGCAUGUGGUUUAAUUCGAAGCAACGCGAAGAACCUUACCUAGACUUGACAUCUCCUGAAUAGCGCAGAGAUGCGUGAAGCCCUUCGGGGCAGGAAGACAGGUGGUGCAUGGUUGUCGUCAGCUCGUGUCGUGAGAUGUUGGGUUAAGUCCCGCAACGAGCGCAACCCCUAUUAUUAGUUGCUACCAUUAAGUUGAGCACUCUAAUGAGACUGCCUGGGUUAACCGGGAGGAAGGCGGGGAUGACGUCAAAUCGUCAUGCCCCUUAUGUCUAGGGCUACACACGUGCUACAAUGGUGAGAACAACGAGAUGCAAUACCGCGAGGUGGAGCAAAACUUGAAAACUCAUCUCAGUUCGGAUUGUAGG
Molecule: ribosomal RNA, 531 nt
Filed under: uncultured bacterium
Lineage: Bacteria
Description: bacterial SSU rRNA
Rfam family: Bacterial small subunit ribosomal RNA
Source: RNAcentral